Long non-coding RNA from Chinchilla lanigera (long-tailed chinchilla), 331 nucleotides. RefSeq lists it as uncharacterized. Lineage: Eukaryota; Metazoa; Chordata; Mammalia; Rodentia; Chinchillidae. The transcript has 3 exons. The record is from RefSeq and is a predicted model, not a curated record.
UGGAAGUCAACUACAAGGAAGGCUGAUGGGGCAGGAUCUCAGGGCUGGUGAGGGAUGUAGCUCAGCAGCACAGCACCUGCCUGCUAUUGCUAGAUUUCCUAGCUGUAUCCCUCAGAUGUUGCAGGCCUGAAAGAGAAGACAUUGGCUUAUUCAUCAUUUUAUGGCCCAAAGUUUUUAACUGCAUGAAAAAUGCUGAUUGCAGUGGAGAAUGAAGAGAAUACAGCCACAGAGCCAAGGUAGAAAUGGGGAGAAGAAAUGAGUUGUUAGAAAAUGUAAGAUGACCUAAUGAUUUCCUGCAAAUUAAAGAAGAAAAAAAUGUUCCAACUUAAAU